This 468-nucleotide ribosomal RNA is filed under the name uncultured bacterium. RNAcentral describes it as "partial 16S ribosomal RNA". It matches the Rfam family "Bacterial small subunit ribosomal RNA", at positions 28 to 507 of the family's 1533-position model. The record is from RNAcentral.
GACGAACGCUGGCGGCGUGCUUAACACAUGCAAGUCGAACGGAAAGGCCCUGCUUUUGUGGGGUGCUCGAGUGGCGAACGGGUGAGUAACACGUGAGUAACCUGCCCUUGACUUUGGGAUAACUUCAGGAAACUGGGGCUAAUACCGGAUAGGAGCUCCUGCUGCAUGGUGGGGGUUGGAAAGUUUCGGCGGUUGGGGAUGGACUCGCGGCUUAUCAGCUUGUUGGUGGGGUAGUGGCUUACCAAGGCUUUGACGGGUAGCCGGCCUGAGAGGGUGACCGGCCACAUUGGUACUGAGAUACGGCCCAGACUCCUACGGGAGGCAGCAGUGGGGAAUAUUGCACAAUGGGCGGAAGCCUGAUGCAGCAACGCCGCGUGCGGGAUGACGGCCUUCGGGUUGUAAACCGCUUUCGCCUGUGACGAAGCGGGAGUGACGGUAAUGGGUAAAGAAGCACCGGCUAACUACGUG